CUAGAAGUCAUCUUUCUAUGUCUCCACUAGACUGAGCUCCUUUGAAGAGAUCAUCCUGAUGUUUAAAUAUCCACCGUGAAGAUAAGACGUGGGCCCUUCAGCAGAAGGAUCACAGUAAACUCACAGAGCUGCCGGCAGUCAGCAUGCAUCUUUUCUAUAUGCAGGGGCUGAGACUGUCCCCCUGCAGCAUCUUCCAUCCUUGCCUCGCUGGCUCAUCAGCAUCAGCACCAAGGACAGCUCCCUGAUGCACCUGCUAGCUGCUGGCUCCCAAGGCUGUUGAGGAAUGCCUGGUCAUGAAAGCAAGUUGAGACAGCUGGAACUAACCCCUGCAGUUCAGUUCCCUGCUGACUUCAAUAACAGAGUCUUCUUAGGGAGACUGCAAAUAGCUGGAGGCCAUUUCUCAACAAUUCUCCUUGGAAAAAUCUUGGAAACUUCAAUCUCAACCAUAUUAAACAGUUCAUUUUAAACA
Molecule: long non-coding RNA, 469 nt
Organism: Equus caballus (horse)
Lineage: Eukaryota; Metazoa; Chordata; Mammalia; Perissodactyla; Equidae
Source: RefSeq, a predicted model, not a curated record